Long non-coding RNA from Balaenoptera acutorostrata (minke whale), 2388 nucleotides. RefSeq lists it as uncharacterized. NCBI's taxonomy places the organism in Eukaryota, Metazoa, Chordata, Mammalia, Artiodactyla, Balaenopteridae. The record is from RefSeq and is a predicted model, not a curated record. The transcript has 4 exons.
GCUGAGGUCACUGGCUGAUGGGUGGGAGGUUGCUGAUGAGGAAGUGGGGAGGGGCGUAAAGGCACCCCAGGAAGCGCCCAGUGUCCCUUUUGCUGGAUAUUUUCUUUCCUGGACUCUUGGCCUGGCUGUUGCUUGAAUGGGAGAAAACUAACCUGAUGGCAGGACUUACUGAGCUAAUUAAGCACGUAAACCACCCAUGGCAGAGCCUGGCACCCAGUAGGCCUUCAAUUCAUGUACCUCAGGAUCCUGCCUCAAAGUCUGGAGUUGGAGAGCUGUUCAGUCUACACUCUCAUCUCCGUCUCCCCAAGCCCGCAGACACGGUCAUCUUCCAGGACUCGAGGGGGUCCACAGAGGCCUGACCCACCACCAGGAACUGGGGAGAGGAAACAAUACCAGCUGUAAAGAGAAGUUCAUUCCUUCCCCCUGGCCACACCAGCAUUACCCCAUCACACAGAUGAGGAAUCUGAGACUCACUGGCUCAUUUAAUCCACAGACGCACCCUGAGCACCUACUGUGUGCAGGCUGUGCUGGGCCCUCUCCCACAGGGCUCACAGCUUAGCGGCACAUGGGAUUUUAGUUCCCCAACCAGGGAUCAAACCCGCGCCCCCUGCAUUGGAAGUGCGGAGUCUUAACCACUGGACUGCCAGGGAAGUCCCAGCAUCCUCUUUAGAACAUCAGCUCCUCGAGGACAGAGAUCUCUGCCUGUUCCAUUCACCAUUGUGUCUCCCAGUGCCUAGUACAGAGCCUGGCACAUAGUAGGUGCUCAAUAACUAUCUGUGGAAAGAAGGCAGGAAGGAAGGAAAGAAGAAAGGGAGGGAGGGGUUGCAAUUCAUUUAUCCAGUUUUGCAUUUGUUUGUUCAGCGAGUACUUAUUGAGGGCCAGCUGUAUGCUGGUUCUGGGGAGAGAGUGGUGACAGCACAGACAGGUGUCCUGCCCUCAAGGCGCUCGCUGACUUUCUGGUCGCUGUCAGCAAUUGUGAUAUCAGCUGGUGAAGACUAUGAGGAAAGGUGGAGCCAGGAGAGGGGCUGCUGGGAGGAGGGGUUGGCUGGCAGAGGCAGGGGUAGGCUUGGGGCUCCCCCCACCCCGCCCCUGCUGGCAGAUGCUGGGGCUGUCGUAACUGCGGGCAGCUCGGGUUGCCAAACGCCACCACAGCUGCGUCACCGAGAGCCUGGAGGGCCCAGAGGCUGAGGGGGGCUGGGAGGGGCCCCCUCACCCAGGCUGGUUUCAGCCCCGAGUCAGACAGAGCUGGGUCAAAGGUCAGCCCCGUGUCCACUGUUAGUCACUCUACGUAAUGUGGCUGUGUGGCUGCGUGCUGUUGCGGAUUGCUUGCGAAAAAAGUCCAGAAAUAAUGCAUGAGGAGCCACAUUCCCACCUCCAAGAGAGAAAUGAAACGUGCAGAGACCGGGGGAGACCCCACCCUCCCUCCAAAGGUGACUUCAUCCUGAAUUUGACAUCUGUGACCCUGUGUGUGACUGCACAAUGUUACCUUCCUGGGCCUACCUCUGUGUGUCCCUGGGCAAGUCACUUAACCUCUCUGGGCCUUGGUUUCCUCACGUGUAAGAUGGGAAAGCUAACAGUCCCUCCCUCGGAGGACUGGUGAGAAUAAACAAGCCAUCUGCGUAAAGUGCUCAGAUGAGGGCCUGGCACACAGGAAGCACCACGUAAGUGCUGGCUAUGAUCAUUAUUGUCACUGAACACCCAGAAGAGGGGACAGAGAGCCGUCACUUGUGUCAAGGUCACUUCGGGUGGUGCCAGGGUUCACAUCAGCGGCUGGCUCUGGAGUGGUGUCGCUCAGGUGCCCAGGCACUAAUUCUGGUUCAUUCUGUUCCACUUCCUGUUGGGUUUGCCUUUCCCACCAGCUUUGAUAAACCAGAGCCUGUGCCUGGCUUGUUCUCUGCUGUCACCCUGCAGAGGGUGACAGCCCAGGGUCUGGAGACUGAAGGAUGGGUUUGUGGAGCAAAUGAACGGGGCUGUCUCCUCAUCUGUAUGAUGGGUCUUGCAGCCCCAAGGAAUGAGAAAGUGCCGAGUAGUGUAGGUGCUUUAUAAACCCUUCUUUAUUUCCUCCUCUCCCAGCUGUACUCCCCUCCCCCUCCCCUCAGGGCUAGACCUGGACCCCACUCACUUCAGGACAGGCAUUCUGCUGACAGAUUGCUCCCCACUGACUCAUUCAUUCAUUCAUACCUUCACACUUUCAACAAAUAUUUUGAGCACCUACUGUGCUCCAGUCUCUGCUCUAGGCUCUGGGGAUACCGAAACGAAUAAAGCAUGUAAAAAUCUCUGUCUUCCUGGAGCUGAUAUUCUGUCAGGAGAGAGAGCCAUCAGACAACAGUGUGAUUCAAGCGAAGAUUCACAGGGGCCUGGGCAGCAGGGAUCAGGGGAGGCCCUGCC